This 372-nucleotide ribosomal RNA is filed under the name uncultured organism. Its description in RNAcentral is "bacterial SSU rRNA". It matches the Rfam family "Bacterial small subunit ribosomal RNA", at positions 526 to 896 of the family's 1533-position model. The record is from RNAcentral.
CGGGGGGGGCAAGCGUUGUUCGGAAUUACUGGGCGUAAAGGGCUCGUAGGUGGCCAACUAAGUCAGACGUGAAAUCCCUCGGCUUAACCGGGGAACUGCAUCUGAUACUGGAUGGCUUGAGUUUGGGAGAGGGACGCGGAAUUCCAGGUGUAGCGGUGAAAUGCGUAGAUAUCUGGAGGAACACCGGUGGCGAAGGCGGCGUCCUGGACCAUCACUGACACUGAUGAGCGAAAGCCAGGGGAGCAAACGGGAUUAGAUACCCCGGUAGUCCUGGCCCUAAACGAUGAAUGCUUGGUGUGGCGGGUAUCGAUCCCUGCCGUGCCGAAGCUAACGCAUUAAGCAUUCCGCCUGGGGAGUACGGUCGCAAGGCUG